Molecule: ribosomal RNA, 501 nt
Filed under: uncultured bacterium
Lineage: Bacteria
Description: partial 16S ribosomal RNA
Rfam family: Bacterial small subunit ribosomal RNA
Source: RNAcentral
AUUGAACGCUGGCGGCAGGCUUAACACAUGCAAGUCGAGCGGGGUGAUGGUGCUUGCACUAUCACUUAGCGGCGGACGGGUGAGUAAUGCUUAGGAAUCUGCCUAUUAGUGGGGGACAACAUUCCGAAAGGGAUGCUAAUACCGCAUACGCCCUACGGGGGAAAGCAGGGGAUCUUCGGACCUUGCGCUAAUAGAUGAGCCUAAGUCGGAUUAGCUAGUUGGUGGGGUAAAGGCCUACCAAGGCGACGAUCUGUAGCGGGUCUGAGAGGAUGAUCCGCCACAGUGGGACUGAGACACGGCCCAGACUCCUACGGGAGGCAGCAGUGGGGAAUAUUGGACAAUGGGCGGAAGCCUGAUCCAGCCAUGCCGCGUGUGUGAAGAAGGCCUUUUGGUUGUAAAGCACUUUAAGCGAGGAGGAGGCUACUAGUAUUAAUACUACUGGAUAGUGGACGUUACUCGCAGAAUAAGCACCGGCUAACUCUGUGCCAGCCGCCGCGGUAA